UAGGGAGACCUGCUCGAUUUCCACCGUAACCCAUACAUUAUUCGGGGAAAUCAGCUAUCCCAAGGUCGUUCGGGACCGGAUCAUUUCUGGCUUUCAAACUCUUUGUUCGGUUCAGUAUUCUAAAAUACAGCACCAGUUCUGAAGUCAUCUAUCAAUCGUAGAGACCAGAAAGACUGCUGGAUUUUAACCAGCAAUGAACCUUGAAAACUGCAUAAAGAAAAGAAUCAAAGGUAAAAACCUUUUCAGUUAGUUUCUGAUUUUAAGAAACCGAUUGAAAAGCUGUCCAAAAAAGAAGACCACAAGU
RNAcentral lists this unclassified non-coding RNA (304 nucleotides) under Kamptonema cf. formosum P-O. RNAcentral describes it as "partial 16S-23S ribosomal RNA intergenic spacer". The record is from RNAcentral. Lineage: Bacteria; Bacillati; Cyanobacteriota; Cyanophyceae; Oscillatoriales; Microcoleaceae.